UCGCGCAGCCGGGGAGUCAGCGGUGCCCUGUACCUGCAAUCCGCUACAGCAGGGGUGAUGUUCGGCCGAGGGUGGGGCGUGUUGCGCAGCCCCAUAUAAGUGAUGUUGACGUUUGGGUCUCACACAACAGGAACCCGUGAACCGUGUCAGGGUAGGAAUACAGCAGCACUAAGCGGUGCAUUCUGUGUGUUGUGAGGCAGCCUGGACC
RNAcentral lists this signal recognition particle RNA (208 nucleotides) under Lachnospiraceae bacterium. RNAcentral describes it as "partial signal recognition particle sRNA large type". It matches the Rfam family "Bacterial large signal recognition particle RNA", at positions 1 to 209 of the family's 256-position model. Rfam says of the family: The signal recognition particle (SRP) is a universally conserved ribonucleoprotein involved in the co-translational targeting of proteins to membranes. Archaeal SRP consists of a 7S RNA and homologues of the eukaryotic SRP19 and SRP54 proteins. Lineage: Bacteria; Bacillati; Bacillota; Clostridia; Lachnospirales; Lachnospiraceae. The record is from RNAcentral.